This is a long non-coding RNA of Hyla sarda, 175 nucleotides long. RefSeq lists it as uncharacterized. The record is from RefSeq and is a predicted model, not a curated record. NCBI's taxonomy places the organism in Eukaryota, Metazoa, Chordata, Amphibia, Anura, Hylidae. The transcript is spliced from 3 exons.
GAAUGUCAGAAAUGUACAUCAAAGAAAAAUGCUCAAGUCCGAGAACCAUAGAAAUAAAAGAAAUGAAUAGAGUCUAUGCUGGAUGUAUUUUAUAGGAGUUGAGAUAUAGCUGCAUUCAGAAGAGCUGUCUGCUGACAUCACGAGCAAGUGCGCCCAGUCGCGUGAAACGGAUCUG